This 29-nucleotide non-coding RNA is filed under the name Mus musculus (house mouse). The record is from RNAcentral. Lineage: Eukaryota; Metazoa; Chordata; Mammalia; Rodentia; Muridae.
UACCAACCUGAGUCACAGACAUCACUUCU